UGGGGAAUAUUGCACAAUGGGCGCAAGCCUGAUGCAGCAACGCCGCGUGAACGAUGAAGGUCUUCGGAUCGUAAAGUUCUGUUGCAGGGGAAGAUAAUGACGGUACCCUGUGAGGAAGCCCCGGCUAACUACGUGCCAGCAGCCGCGGUAAUACGUAGGGGGCUAGCGUUAUCCGGAUUUACUGGGCGUAAAGGGUGCGUAGGUGGUCUUUCAAGUCGGUGGUUAAAGGCUACGGCUCAACCGUAGUUAGCCUCCGAAACUGGAAGACUUGAGUGCAGGAGAGGAAAGUGGAAUUCCCAGUGUAGCGGUGAAAUGCGUAGAUAUUGGGAGGAACACCAGUAGCGAAGGCGGCUUUCUGGUCAUCAUCUGACGCUGAGGUACGAAAGCGUGGGUAGCAAACAGG
RNAcentral lists this ribosomal RNA (403 nucleotides) under Verrucomicrobiota bacterium. RNAcentral's name for it is "Verrucomicrobia bacterium partial 16S ribosomal RNA". It matches the Rfam family "Bacterial small subunit ribosomal RNA", at positions 355 to 776 of the family's 1533-position model. The record is from RNAcentral. Lineage: Bacteria; Pseudomonadati; Verrucomicrobiota.